GUUUGAUCCUGGCUCAGGAUGAACGCUAGCGGUAGGCUUAACACAUGCAAGUCGAACGGUAACAGGGGUAGCAAUAUCUGCUGACGAGUGGCGCACGGGUGAGUAACGCGUAUGCAACCUACCUUCUACAGGGGAAUAGCUCUCUGAAAAGAGAAUUAAUACCGCGUAAUACAAUUGAGAGGCAUCUUUUAAUUGUUAAAAUAACAACGGUAGAAGAUGGGCAUGCGUGACAUUAGUUAGUUGGUGAGGUAACGGCUCACCAAGACGAUGAUGUCUAGGGGUUCUAAAAGGAUGAUCCCCCACACUGGUACUGAGACACGGACCAGACUCCUACGGGAGGCAGCAGUGAGGAAUAUUGGUCAAUGGUCGAGAGACUGAACCAGCCAAGCCGCGUGCAGGAUGAAGGCUCUAUGGGUCGUAAACUGCUUUUAUAUGGGAAGAAAAAGGGUUACGUGUAACCCACUGACGGUACCAUACGAAUAAGCAUCGGCUAACUCCGUGCCAGCAGCCGCGGUAAUACGGAGGAUGCAGGCGUUAUCCGGAUUUAUUAGGUUUAAAGGGUGCGUAGGCGGGACAAUAAGUCAGCGGUGAAAUACUACAGCUUAACUGUAGAACUGCCAUUGAUACUGUUGUUCUUGAGUGUAGUUGAGGUAGGCGGAAUGUGUUGUGUAGCGGUGAAAUGCUUAGAUAUGACACAGAACACCAAUUGCGAAGGCAGCUUACUAAACUACUACUGACGCUGAUGCACGAAAGCAUGGGUAGCGAACAGGAUUAGAUACCCUGGUAGUCCAUGCUGUAAACGAUGAUCACUCGUUGUGUGCCGGAAUAGGUACGCGACUAAGCGAAAGCAUUAAGUGAUCCACCUGGGGAGUACGGCGGCAACGCUGAAACUCAAAGGAAUUGACG
RNAcentral lists this ribosomal RNA (906 nucleotides) under uncultured bacterium. Its description in RNAcentral is "bacterial SSU rRNA". It matches the Rfam family "Bacterial small subunit ribosomal RNA", at positions 11 to 915 of the family's 1533-position model. The record is from RNAcentral.